UGGGGAAUCUUGGACAAUGGGCGCAAGCCUGAUCCAGCCAUGCCGCGUGAGUGACGAAGGUCUUCGGAUUGUAAAGCUCUUUUGCCAGGGACGAUAAUGACGGUACCUGGAGAAUAAGCCCCGGCUAACUUCGUGCCAGCAGCCGCGGUAAUACGAAGGGGGCUAGCGUUGUUCGGAAUUACUGGGCGUAAAGCGUGCGCAGGCGGUUUGGUAAGACAGAUGUGAAAUCCCCGGGCUUGACCUGGGAACUGCAUUUGUGACUGCCAGACUAGAGUGUAGCAGAGGGGGGUAGAAUUCCACGUGUAGCAGUGAAAUGCGUAGAUAUGUGGAGGAAUACCGAUGGCGAAGGCAGCCCCCUGGGCUAACACUGACGCUCAUGCACGAAAGCGUGGGGAGCAAACAGGAUUAGAUACCCCUGUAGUCCCUGAGCGGGCUGGCAAGGCGCAU
Molecule: ribosomal RNA, 447 nt
Filed under: uncultured bacterium
Lineage: Bacteria
Description: bacterial SSU rRNA
Rfam family: Bacterial small subunit ribosomal RNA
Source: RNAcentral